Molecule: small RNA, 352 nt
Filed under: Botryobasidium botryosum FD-172 SS1
Lineage: Eukaryota; Fungi; Basidiomycota; Agaricomycetes; Cantharellales; Botryobasidiaceae
Description: 5' ureB small RNA
Rfam family: 5' ureB small RNA
Source: Rfam by way of RNAcentral
ACCUCGGGACAUUGUUGAGGACAGAUGUAAUGAAUGUGAGUAUCGAUUCCACCGGCAGUGACGAUCAUUUUCUCGCCAGCGAUGACCUCAGUUGAGGAGCCCACGAUGAGUCGAGGAUCGACACCAUCCAUAACAUCUGGAUUGCCAGAUUUCCCAAUCCCGAUGAUUGUACCACCGGAUAUACCGAUAUCAGCCUACUCGAUUCAAUGAGAUACGAUCCUAUUGAGCGUCAAAGAGAAUAAGAUCAAACCUUGUAGAUGCCCGACCAGUCGAUGAUGAGUGCGUUCGUGAUGACAAGGUCGAUAGCUUCCGUAGAUGACCGAUUCGUCGCUUGACCCAUUCCCUCUCGGAU